RNAcentral lists this ribosomal RNA (256 nucleotides) under uncultured bacterium. RNAcentral describes it as "partial 16S ribosomal RNA". It matches the Rfam family "Bacterial small subunit ribosomal RNA", at positions 521 to 776 of the family's 1533-position model. The record is from RNAcentral.
UAAUACGAAGGGAGCUAGCGUUGUUCGGAAUAACUGGGCGUAAAGGGUGCGUAGGUGGAUGUGUGCGUUAGAUGUGAAAUCCCCGGGCUUAACCUGGGAACUGCAUUUAAUACGGCACGUCUAGAGUGCGAGAGGGGAAAGCGGAAUGGCGAGUGGAGCAGUGAAAUGCAUUGAGAUUCGCUAGAACACCAGAGGCGAAGGCGGCUUUCUGGCUCGUUACUGACACUAAGGCACGAAAGCGUGGGGAGCAAACAGG